UGCGUAGGCGGGCUAAUAAGUCAGUGGUGAAAUCUUCCGGCUCAACCGGGAACCUGCCAUUGAUACUGUUAGUCUUGAGUUCGGUUGAGGUAGGCGGAAUGUGUAAUGUAGCGGUGAAAUGCUUAGAUAUUACACAGAACACCAAUUGCGUAGGCAGCUUACUAGACCGACACUGACGCUGAGGCACGAAAGCGUGGGGAGCGAACAGGAUUAGGUACCCUGGUAGUCC
This 229-nucleotide ribosomal RNA is filed under the name uncultured bacterium. Its description in RNAcentral is "partial 16S ribosomal RNA". It matches the Rfam family "Bacterial small subunit ribosomal RNA", at positions 568 to 796 of the family's 1533-position model. The record is from RNAcentral.